RNAcentral lists this ribosomal RNA (443 nucleotides) under uncultured bacterium. RNAcentral's name for it is "partial 16S ribosomal RNA". It matches the Rfam family "Bacterial small subunit ribosomal RNA", at positions 338 to 795 of the family's 1533-position model. The record is from RNAcentral.
CCUACGGGAGGCAGCAGUGGGGAAUAUUGGGCAAUGGGCGCAAGCCUGACGCAGCAACGCCGCGUGAAGGAAGAAGGCUUUCGGGUUGUAAACCUCUUUUCUGAGGGACGAAGAAAGUGACGGUACCUCAGGAAUAAGCCACGGCUAACGACGUGCCAGCAGCCGUGGUAAUAAGUAGGUGGCAAGCGUUAUCCGGUGUUAUUGGGGGUAAAGGGCGUGUAGGCGGGAAAGCAAGUCAGAAGUGAAAACUCAGGGCUCAACCCUGAGACUGCAUUUGAAACUGUUUUUCUUGAGUGCUGGAGAGGCAAUCGGAAUUCCGUGUGUAGCGGUGAAAUGCGUAGAUAUACGGAGGAACACCAGUGGCGAAGGCGGAUUGCUGGACAGUAACUGACGCUGAGGCGCGAAAGCGUGGGGAGCAAACAGGAUUAGAUACCCGAGUAGUC